This is a long non-coding RNA of Brassica rapa (field mustard), 1420 nucleotides long. RefSeq lists it as uncharacterized. Lineage: Eukaryota; Viridiplantae; Streptophyta; Magnoliopsida; Brassicales; Brassicaceae. The record is from RefSeq and is a predicted model, not a curated record.
GAACAUGUCCGAGUUCAGAGUUCAGAGUCAUGAACCAAUGUACUGUUGCAACAAAACUCUUUCUUGAGGUCCUUAAGUAUAUUGCUGUAAAUAUACUCUUUCUUCAACCCUUGGACUGUUGUCAAGCUUUUCCUACCAUUGCGCUGAUGCACACGGAUGUGGACGUACUCCUUUGUUCCCGCACCUGAGUCCUCAGCAUUCGCAUCAGCAAACGGGUCUGCAGGUAAUUAAAAAAUAAAUUGAUUAGCAAAUGAGAAACAUUAACCAUAGCCCAUGUUCCAAAUAUAAAAAACUGUAACCAAAGAUUUAAGAUAAGUCUUAAAUGGACAAAUGAGGCAGAUAAGCAGAGGUAUUUUGAUAGACUAUGGAUCAAAGUGGAACUUACCGAAGGCAGUAGAGACCUGGGAAUCAAGUUCAGACAUGAAACUUUGUUGAUCUGAUGGGCAAAAGGACAGAGAAUCUGAGACCUGAGCAAGAAGACCAACGUCAUAAUAAGAGUUUAACACACUCAGAUGGGUACAAAACACCAUGAUAUAAACAGAACAGUUACCCAUCAAGUAAACUACACUUUAGUAUGAGUUACACAAAACACUAAGAUACAUUGCGCUUGAAGUAAACGAUUUCAACAACUCCUGAGUACCUUAAGAAGGGGAUGGAGAUAGCUAGCAUGAAGAGGUUGUCCCUUAGCAUUGAAGUUAUACUCCUUGAAUUCCAACUCUUGCCAGCUGCAUGUGAGUACUCAUUUUUCUCUUACUUUUCCAAUGCCAACAACAUAAUUAAUACGUCUAGAAAACAAACAUUAGUGAUUAGUACUCACUUGUGUAGAUUUUCUCGAGUCAAGUCAGUAGCGAAAAUCUUCCUUUUGGAAGCAUAAUUAGGACCUUUCUCAACAUCAGAAUAUCCCGUCCAUCCCCUAAUAAGUAAGGAAAGGAGUUGUUCAGGCAAAAGAUGAAUAUCGUAAGUUGUAUCCCAUAUUUGAAUGAAGUGAGAAUUCUGGUGUCAACCUUUGACCUAUCGUUAGUUGAAUUUGUUGGAGCUUGGAUUGAAAGUUAUUGUUGUAUAUAAGAACGUGGGAUUAAAAGAGAUUGCAUGGUAAUAGAAAAAGAAGGGUUAAUACGUAUGGGAGGGGGGGGGUUAAAAUAAUAGAAAGGAAAGCAGCAAACAAAACAUAGAGGUACAAAGUGAAGAUCAACAUAAAUCUAGAAUUCUGUAGCACCAUUCCUUUGAAACGAAGUCAUAUUUCGGGAGCUUAACUUGCGAUUUGGUACUUUUCAAUACACAGCUAUGAAUAUAUUUUAUUGCAUUGGUGAUUUUAUAUUUAUAGUAUGUAAAUUUGAGACAGUAUGGUUUAAUAAAUAUAGAAAUUUGUAAUGGUGCGAAAGAAAAAUAUCUAAAUGGUGUGAAUGGAUAUCUUAUACUA